AAAAGAAGAUCAAAACUUUCUUCAAGAUAUUUUUCAGCUUCUGGGGUUUACAAAGACAAAACCUUUUUAAUGAUGUCUUAGGUUUAUGUUGAAAGGCGGUUGGUUUUGUUUAUGUUGUUUUUAUCACCCUUUUUGUCAAGCCAAAAAGAUUCAUAAAUCCAAACUUGUUUGUGCUGUUUUCUGAAAUGGGAAAUCUUUCUUUCUGCUGAUUAACUCCAAUUCCAAACUGUUUAGAGUAUACCCUUUCUGUUCUUGUUGAAUUUUGAGUAUAUAGUAGCUGGCUCGACAACUUUUGGCUUUAACCUUCUCUAAUCGAAUUCAGCCAUCUAAAGGUAUAGUUCAAAAUUUGAUUGACUUGUGUGCUACUAGUACUGGAAAAGAUGAAUGGUGCUGUGUUAGUUGCGCUUGCCGCGACAAUUGGAAACUUUUUGCAGGGUUGGGAUAAUGCUACUAUUGCUGGAGCUGUUGUUUACAUAAAGAAGGAGCUUACUUUGGAUGCUUCAGUGGAAGGACUUAUUGUUGCGAUGUCACUCAUUGGAGCCACACUUGUCACAACUUGUUCUGGAUCCAUAGCUGACAGCAUUGGUCGUCGCCCUAUGCUUAUUAUGUCAUCCAUGCUUUAUUUCCUUAGUGGCUUAAUAAUGUUGUGGUCCCCUAAUGUCUAUGUCCUGCUUAUAGCUAGACUAUUAGAUGGAUUUGGAAUUGGCUUAGCGGUUACUCUGGUCCCCCUAUAUAUAUCUGAGACUGCUCCAUCAGAAAUACGAGGGUCACUGAAUACUCUUCCACAGUUCACUGGUUCUGGUGGAAUGUUCUUGGCCUACUGCAUGAUUUUCGGAAUGUCCUUGAUGACAGCGCCGAGUUGGCGAUUGAUGUUGGGUGUUCUUUCAAUUCCUUCUCUUAUCUAUUUCGUAUUAGUUGUACUUUAUUUGCCUGAAUCUCCUCGAUGGCUAGUCAGUAAAGGAAGAAUGGUCGAGGCAAAACAAGUUUUGCAGAAAUUGCGUGGCAUAGAGGAUGUUUCAGGGGAGAUGGCAUUGCUUGUUGAGGGUUUGGCUGUUGGCAUUGAACCAUCAAUAGAAGAGUAUAUCAUUGGUCCAGCUGAUGAGCUUACUGAGGAUCAGGACCUGGCUACUGACAAAGAUCAUAUCAAGUUGUACGGCCCAGAGGAAGGCCUCUCGUGG
RNAcentral lists this unclassified non-coding RNA (1178 nucleotides) under Hevea brasiliensis (rubber tree). Lineage: Eukaryota; Viridiplantae; Streptophyta; Magnoliopsida; Malpighiales; Euphorbiaceae. The record is from RNAcentral.